RNAcentral lists this ribosomal RNA (253 nucleotides) under uncultured bacterium. RNAcentral describes it as "partial 16S ribosomal RNA". It matches the Rfam family "Bacterial small subunit ribosomal RNA", at positions 524 to 776 of the family's 1533-position model. The record is from RNAcentral.
UACGUAGGUGGCAAGCGUUGUCCGGAUUUACUGGGUUUAAAGGGUGCGUAGGUGGGCAGGUAAGUCAGUGGUGAAAUCUCCGGGCUUAACCCGGAAACUGCCAUUGAUACUAUCUGUCUUGAAUUUCCUGGAGGUAAGCGGAAUAUGUCAUGUAGCGGUGAAAUGCUUAGAUAUGACAUAGAACACCAAUUGCGAAGGCAGCUUACUACGGGAAUAUUGACACUGAGGCACGAAAGCGUGGGGAUCAAACAGG